ACUUGAACAUAAGACCUAUGAGGAGAGGCUGAGGGAGCUGGGGUUGUUUAGUCUAGAGAAGAGGAGGCUUAGAGGUGACCUCAUCACUCUCUAUAACUACCUGAAGGGAAGUUAUAGCCAGGUGGGGAUUGGUCUCUUCUCCCAGGCAGUUAGCAAUAGGACAAGGGGGCAUGGGCUUAAACUCUACCAGGGGAAAUUUAGGCUGGAUAUUAGAAAGAAAUUCUUUACAGAGAGAGUGAUCAGGCAUUGGAAUGGCUGCCCAGGGAGGUGCUGGACUCGCCGUCCCUAGAGGUUUUUAAACUGAGAUUGGACAUGGCACUUAGUGCCAUGAUCUAGUAAACGGACUAGAGUUGGACCAAGGGUUGGACUCGAUGAUCUCUGAGGUCUUUUCCAACCCAGUCGAUUCUGUGAUUCUGUAAAAGGCAUGAAAAUGCUGCAAAGGGCCAACACAAAGUUUUGAAAGUCUAUGUUUUGAGUCUUUGCCCCAGAUUCUGGCUUCAACCCACACCCUGGGGUGAAGGAAGGAGCGGGAUGGUCGGAAACUGUGCUUGGACACUCGCACAUCAGGGAGGUGCUGGUAGGAGGUGGCAAGUGCUGGCAAGGCAGCUGUGUAGCCCAUGUGCUGGCCAGGACCCUCCUCUCCACCCGAGCACUUGUUUGUACACCACGUCUGGCCUCUCCCACAGGGAGAGGAGCUGCUUGGGUCAAAGAGAUGGUGUUUGGUUUCCCAGGAGGUGGACAAACUCGAAUAUCUGGUUCUCCGGUGCUUCACAUGGUCUAUUCACUGAAGAGAUCAAAGCACGUUUAUUUCUGGCAGAAGACGGCACAGAUUCCCGUGGCUGUAUGUCAGCAGAGCUCUCUGACCAGCCCAUUCACCGAAGCCAUGCCAAAACUUCAGCACUACUCAUUGUCCCUUUUGGGAAAACAGCCUUUUAGCUACCGGACCAGCUUUCCCUAUUAAUUAGUUUGUAAUGAUCAGACACAACAAAUUCUCUUGAAUAUUUAUUUUUGACAACUGCAUUACGUAUCAAAUAACCUCAGAUUUUCAGGCAUCCAGGUGGAAUAGUUGUGAAACCAGAUGAUGAGCUGACUCAUCUAAGGUAACGCCGUGAAGCAGUUUGAUUCGGCUCAGAGUUGAAGCUCCGUCUGGCUGUAGGUGUGACUGGUGAGUCGCCACCCCUUAGUCACUGGCCACUGUGGAGUUGAGCUCUGUGACUGAAGGGAAAAGGGAAGUUUAACUUCCACAUAAACUUCCCCCUGGAUCCUUUUUCUUUCUUUCCUCCGAAUUUUUGGCAGCUUGGAAGGAGGUUGGUUAGUCACAGCUUUUCCCUCCAAGCUCUACCACAUCACAAGCUCUGUUGUGUGUUGGGGUGUCUGGUAUUGAGUCAUGCUCUUUUUUAUUGUGCCUAUAUUUUUUUUAUCAUAAUCAUCUUCACUGAUGUUCUGUCCUGCAUUUUCUUUAUUGGAAUAAUAAUUUGCAUAUUAAUAGGAUUUUGAGUCUGUUUCCAGAGGAGCAGCUCUUAGCUGAGGUUUCGGUUUAGAGCGGGGCUUGGACCAGAUGGCCUCCUGAGAUCCCUUCUGACCUCAAUGAUUCCUGCCCAGUGGGGACUGGGUGGAGGUUUCCAAUGGCUUGUGAUUAAAGCAUCAUGUUCCUGUCCUGCCUGUUUCACAAAAAUAUGACUCCCUAUGAUUUACUCCUCAGAGAAAUUGUUCUGACAAACAUGCUGGCAGGGCUGAGGUCUCCCUCAGUUUCUUCUGGAUGUGUUCACUGGAAGGAAUCUUGACAAAGAGACAACUGGAUGCUGGCUCCAUGAGCUACUGCACUUGCCUGUAGAUGGAAUAGACCAGUGUUCAUGUAAGUGGAAAUGAAGUGAGUUCAAGUUCAAGAAACAAAAAGAUUGCAGAGGACCCAACAUCGAAGUCAAAGGAUAACGAUGUUGCAGAAUGAAGAACACACUUCUGUGGAGACUUCAGUCUGCAAAGCCAACAUGUUUCUUCCGUUCACUGAAUUAGGCAUGUUAAUUUUUGCACUAUGAGGGGACAGGGCACGUAUUUACAGUUUGUCACUCAUGUAUUGUCACUCAUUUUAGUCAAAUGGUGUCCUUACUGAGUUUGCUUUGGUAAAUCAUGGAGGAAGGAUUCUAUAUAAAUCGGAAAGAAAAACUCAAUGAUAUUCUUUAAGUAUUAGUUGUAGAGAACAUAGCUAUUCCUGUGUUUCACCUUUUCUUUCUGAAUUUAUUGAAGAACUUAAUUAAUUACACUUAAAU
Molecule: long non-coding RNA, 2267 nt
Organism: Columba livia (rock pigeon)
Lineage: Eukaryota; Metazoa; Chordata; Aves; Columbiformes; Columbidae
Exons: 4
Source: RefSeq, a predicted model, not a curated record